UAAUUGCCCCAGGACACACAGAAGUCAAGGUUUGAAACCCCCACAUGGCCAGCCCUGAAGCCCAGACUACUGAGACCGCAGCAACUGAGUUCUCAAGUGAAAAUCAAGAAGAUGAGGCAAGGACCUCAAAAAGAAUGCAGCAGUCCUAAAGGCCUUUGAGAAAAACUGUGAGAUGAAAUUCCUCCAGCAGUGGGGGUCUCAUUAUGUUGCCCAGGCUGGUCUCAAACUUCUGGCCUCAAGCGAUC
Long non-coding RNA from Symphalangus syndactylus (siamang), 245 nucleotides. RefSeq lists it as uncharacterized. Lineage: Eukaryota; Metazoa; Chordata; Mammalia; Primates; Hylobatidae. The record is from RefSeq and is a predicted model, not a curated record.